Ilyobacter polytropus DSM 2926 is the source of this 142-nucleotide regulatory RNA element. It matches the Rfam family "Ribosomal protein L20 leader". From Rfam's summary of the family: This family is a putative r-protein leader autoregulatory structure found in B. subtilis and other low-GC Gram-positive bacteria. It is located in the 5' untranslated regions of mRNAs encoding initiation factor 3 followed by ribosomal proteins L35 and L20 (infC-rpmI-rplT). NCBI's taxonomy places the organism in Bacteria, Fusobacteriati, Fusobacteriota, Fusobacteriia, Fusobacteriales, Fusobacteriaceae. The record is from Rfam.
UAGUCAAAGAAGAAACGCCCGUUUCUCACCUUACUAGCCAAAGUAGCUACAUAAGGUCAAUCUAGUUGAUUUUUUCAAAUCAGCUGUAAUUUUUUUAUGAAAAAUGAGCAGGGCGUUUUGUGUCCUGUUUUUUUAUUGUUUA